Molecule: ribosomal RNA, 492 nt
Filed under: uncultured bacterium
Lineage: Bacteria
Description: partial 16S ribosomal RNA
Rfam family: Bacterial small subunit ribosomal RNA
Source: RNAcentral
AGUGAACGCUGGCGGUAGGCCUAACACAUGCAAGUCGAACGGCAGCACAGUAAGAGCUUGCUCUUACGGGUGGCGAGUGGCGGACGGGUGAGGAAUACAUCGGAAUCUACUUUUUCGUGGGGGAUAACGUAGGGAAACUUACGCUAAUACCGCAUACGACCUACGGGUGAAAGCAGGGGAUCUUCGGACCUUGCGCGAUUGAAUGAGCCGAUGUCGGAUUAGCUAGUUGGCGGGGUAAAGGCCCACCAAGGCGACGAUCCGUAGCUGGUCUGGGAGGAUGGUCAGCCACCCUGGAACUGGGACACGGUCCAGACUCCUACGGGAGGCAGCAGUGGGGAAUAUUGGACAAUGGGCGCAAGCAUGAUCCAGCCAUACCGCGUGGGUGAAGAAGGCCUUCGGGUUGUAAAGCCCUUUUGUUGGGAAAGAACAGCAGCAGGUUAAUACCCCGCUGUUCUGACGGUACCCAAAGAAUAAGCACCGGCUAACUUCGUG